AGAGUUUAGAUCGUGGCUCAGAACGAACGCUGGCGGCAUGCCUAACACAUGCAAGUCGAACGGGAUCCGAGCUUCGGUUCGGUGAGAGUGGCGGACGGGUGAGUAACGCGUGGACUGCCCAGUGGUGGGGGAUAACUGCGGGAAACUGCAGCUAAUACCGCAUGAGCCCCGAGAGGGGGAAAGAUUUAUCGCCAUUGGAGGGGCCCGCGUUCGAUUAGGUAGUUGGUGAGGUAAAGGCUCACCAAGCCGACGAUCGAUAGCUGGUCUGAGAGGAUGAUCAGCCACACUGGGACUGAGAUACGGCCCAGACUCCUACGGGAGGCAGCAGUGGGGGAAUAUUGGACAAUGGGGGCAACCCUGAUCCAGCAAUGCCGCGUGAGUGAUG
RNAcentral lists this ribosomal RNA (385 nucleotides) under uncultured Alphaproteobacteria bacterium. RNAcentral describes it as "bacterial SSU rRNA". It matches the Rfam family "Bacterial small subunit ribosomal RNA", at positions 8 to 410 of the family's 1533-position model. Lineage: Bacteria; Pseudomonadati; Pseudomonadota; Alphaproteobacteria. The record is from RNAcentral.